RNAcentral lists this small nuclear RNA (115 nucleotides) under Rosa chinensis. Lineage: Eukaryota; Viridiplantae; Streptophyta; Magnoliopsida; Rosales; Rosaceae. The record is from RNAcentral.
ACUUUUUCCCUUUGGGGACAUACAUGCAUCUGAUAAAAUUGGAACGAUACAAAGAAGAUUGGCAUGGCGUCACCACAAAGAUGACAUGCAUAAAUAAAAAAAUAAAAAAAAGAUC